Molecule: long non-coding RNA, 666 nt
Filed under: Trifolium pratense (red clover)
Lineage: Eukaryota; Viridiplantae; Streptophyta; Magnoliopsida; Fabales; Fabaceae
Description: long non-coding RNA (TPRA_LNC005634)
Source: RNAcentral
CAGAGAUCUCUGAAAUCAUUCCUCUUCCCUCAUCUCCCAAAGAAUAUCUAUACGUACAGUAUGGGGGACAGAGUUAUGGUUUUGACAUGGAUUUGGCCUCUGUUGAGUUUGCUUUCACCAAGAUUGAUUCUCAAUAUCAAAUGUAUAGCUGAAUUCUGUAUUUGCAUAUAUAAAAUUACUUUUAUUUUCUCUAUCCUGAUCAACUAACUAACCUACUUCAUGAGUAUCUGCUUGUUAUAUAGACAUAGCAGAGGACAAUGCUCAUUUAGAGUGAGCCGUCAAAGAGAUAAUUAAUGAUAAAUGUUGUGAAUUCGGAUUGAAUAAUCACACCAAUAAUACUUUUGAUGUGUGGAGCAAAUCGAAUAAGCAAUCAAAACGUGGAAAUAGCAAUAAUAAUCACGAACAAAAGAUAAGUAAUAAAACUGUAAAGNNNNNNNNNNNNNGAGAUUUCAAUGAUAAGUGAUUACAAGAUGAAAGAAUCAACACCCAAAACCUAGAGAUGAACCAAGAGUAACCCUCUUAACCCUAGCCGCCGUUUUGGUGAAAGAAACCCUCAAAACUUCCUCUUAAAAAAACAGAAAACGUGACCCUUUAAAUACUCUGCAGCGAUUUCCGCCUGAAACACAGCUUUUUCCGCCUGAGGCGGAAACUUCCGCCUGAAACACC